Molecule: long non-coding RNA, 827 nt
Organism: Triticum dicoccoides
Lineage: Eukaryota; Viridiplantae; Streptophyta; Magnoliopsida; Poales; Poaceae
Exons: 3
Source: RefSeq, a predicted model, not a curated record
UUGUGAGGAGCACCGGUCUGUUGUCCUCCUGUUCGUGCACCUCCGGAACAGGACAAAACCGAGGUGAGCCGCCUCUGAUCCGUCGUUUGAGGCGCCCAUCGGCUCCCUCCCUGCCAAAUCCCACCUCCUAGACUCGCCACUACCACCACCUCCUGGACUCGCCGCUGUUGCCGCCGCCGCCGCCGUAUGGAGUUGCCGCUGCUGCCUGGACUCGACCAUCACCGUCCCCAAGUGCCACAACCUCUCCUCCCAACGUCAAGCAAGCUGGACCAGGGAUUGCCAAACCAUAAUGCUAUUGGAAGCUAGCAUUGCAGAUUGGUUGCAAUGACAUGGAUCUGAUCUGGAACUCUGGAUGACACCCCUCAGUUUUCUUGCCAUUCGGUAGACGAUGUUCGCGCAUAGAUAAUAUUUGGCCCUUAACCUGGCAGCUUGCCACUGAUGGUUAUAGCCAUGUACUAUUGAAAUACUAUUAGGAUCUUCUUUGUGAGGUAGUGUGGAAAAUAUCUGUUAGGCACGUACUCAUGUUUUCCUUGACACAUUGUCAAAUGGACAUGACCUGUGAAGAGCUGGGAGGGUUGUUUUAGACUUGCCCUAAGAUUCUGAAAUUUUAGACUUUAAUCUGGAAGGCAAGUGUUCCAGAAAAUAAAUCUGUUGGUUUGAUUAGUUUCGUCAAGUGAUUAUUUGCAUCUUCCUUUCUUUGCUUCACAUGACAAAGAUUUCCUCGGCAAGAAAUCAAAUGGGUGAGACCAGCGCCAUCCUCUCUGCCCGACUUGCUGCCAUUCGUUGGAUGAUUUUGGCAACAUGUUCAGAGUUAAUCAAUUGAAUCA